This 492-nucleotide ribosomal RNA is filed under the name uncultured bacterium. RNAcentral describes it as "partial 16S ribosomal RNA". It matches the Rfam family "Bacterial small subunit ribosomal RNA", at positions 29 to 507 of the family's 1533-position model. The record is from RNAcentral.
AGCGAACGCUGGCGGCAGGCUUAACACAUGCAAGUCGAACGGCAGCACAGUAAUUGCUUGCUCUUACGGGUGGCGAGUGGUGGAUGGGUGAGGAAUAAAUUGGACUCUACUUUUUCGUGGGGGUUAACGAAGGGAAAUUUAAGCUAAUACCGCCUACGACCUACGGGUGAAUGCAGGGGAUCUUCGGAUCUUGCGUGAUUGAACGAGCUGAUGUCGGAUUAGUUAGUUGGCGGGGUAAAGGCCCACCAAGGCGUCGACCCGUAGCUGGUCUGAGAGGGUGAUCAGCCACACUGGAACUGAGACACGGACCGGACUCCUGCGAGAGGCAGCAGUGGGGAAGGUGGGACAAGGGGCGCAAACCUGAUCCAGCCAGACCGCGUGGGGGAAGGAGGCCUUCGGGUUGUUGAACGCUUUUGUGGUGUAAGAAAAGCAGCAGGUUGAUACCGCGCUGUUCUGACGGUACCCAGAGAAGAAGCACCGGCUAACUACGUG